Athalia rosae (coleseed sawfly) is the source of this 1504-nucleotide long non-coding RNA. RefSeq lists it as uncharacterized. The record is from RefSeq and is a predicted model, not a curated record. The transcript has 6 exons. NCBI's taxonomy places the organism in Eukaryota, Metazoa, Arthropoda, Insecta, Hymenoptera, Athaliidae.
ACCUCCGUGAAGUUGGCGCCUGAUUGAAAUAUUUUAAUUUUAUUAUUGUAUCAAAAAAUUGCUCCUUAAUUGCUCCUCUGGAAUACGUUAUUUUUCCUAAUUGCUCCAGCGCCGUUUGGUCGUAAAAAAACUAAAAAUUUUCCGGAAUUUUUUUUUUUCUAGAUUUAUUUCCGAAGCCCGAAUCUCCGCUUGAGGAGGGCCUAUAGUGUUUUCAGCUAUACUAAAAAAUUGCUUCCAAUUUGCUCCCAAUUUGCUCCCAAUUGCUCCGUACUUGUUGUUGGCUUUUUCGUUGUAAUUUUGCAUAAAAAAUAUAAAACUUCGUUCCACGGUAAAAUUCGGUCUGCGCAUGUGUCAACUAAUGUAUUGUCAGUUGCGACGUCACUCGCCAACUUCAGAGCGGUGGGUUGUGGCUUCCCACUCACGUUUCGCGCUGAAAAUUACACCGAAUUUGGUUUUUCAUAUCAGCUGCAGUCUAAGAAAUUUUCCAAUUAUAAUAUCGAAAUAUAAGAAAAUUUUUUAAUAAUCCAUACAGCAGAAAGGGUUAAUACUUGGCUCGACAAGGGCGCGGCAGCGAUGUGAAUCUAUUUUCUACUUGCGUCAGCAUUAGCGACCGCUCGAUUAAGUUACAGGCUUCCAUUCUUUAUUUGGAGUUGCUAGGUGGUUUAGGCCCAGUCACGCAUGAAGCAAAAAGGAUUAAGAUCUUACGAGGCAUAGGAGGCUGCCAUGUAAUUCGGAGAUUUGUGGUGGCUGAUUCGUCAUUUGGAUAUACAUGACAUCGUCUUCAGACAUCUGUCACAGUGCAAGACCGUGUGGAACAAGAUGAUUACAAAACCAAUAUAGAGUUCUCGAGCUUGCUAUAGUUACAUCCUGAAGAAACUGGAGAUUCAUGCAGUACGUGUUCGGCUGCACACAUUCAGUAUUCAGCGACAGCCCAUUGACACACCAUAAUGGAACCGAAAAGACUACCAGUUGAAAUGUCAUUUGCACUAGAUAGACCUGUUCUGCGAUGAAUGAUCUAUGAGACAUUAUAAGUGCAAAAAAAUUUUGUAACAUAUUUCUAAUUCUGAAGUUAUUAUCCCCAACACUACACCUAUAAAUCGAUAAAUAAUAAUGUAAGAAAAUUUCGUAAAUUUUAAUUUAUUGUUUCUGCAUGAACACUUACUUUUAAAAAAUUCAAUAAUAAAUCAACAGGAAAACUAAUAUUGUGUGUGGUCUAGUAUUUAUUUUUCUCGCUGCAAGAUCUACUAUCGGUAUGUAUGCUGCUCUCUCCACCCCAGCUAUUAUUACCUUUCGCAUACACCUUACCUAUUAUUACCGAAUUCGUGUUACGAUCUUAUUCUCAGAUUAUCAAUUUAUUUUCAUAGUUUCCAGUCCCAAUUUAGAAUAAGUGACACCUUAUUGUCACGGAUGUAAAAUAGUAAAAAAAAAAAAACCUGAUGAAAGUAGACAGCAAAUGCCAAUAAAAUCUGAAAAAAACAUAAAUUAAAGGCCCACGCACUCAUGA